Non-coding RNA from Stegodyphus mimosarum, 73 nucleotides. The record is from Rfam. NCBI's taxonomy places the organism in Eukaryota, Metazoa, Arthropoda, Arachnida, Araneae, Eresidae.
GCCUUCGUAGUGCAGUGGUCAGCACGCUCGACGCGUAACCGAGAGGUCCGUGGUUCGAUUCCCGGCGAAGGCG